This 63-nucleotide microRNA precursor is filed under the name Bos taurus (domestic cattle). Its description in RNAcentral is "microRNA mir-2391". Lineage: Eukaryota; Metazoa; Chordata; Mammalia; Artiodactyla; Bovidae. The record is from RNAcentral.
GAGUGGGCUGAUGUGUUGGGCUGUGCUCUAAUGACAUGGUCAAAAAAAAAAACUCCCCCCCUC